AGCUUUGAAGCCGGCGAGCGGUGAGGAGGAGGCGCCCUCGCGUGUGGAGAGCGGACUCCGCCUGGACUCCACCGCCCACGGCCGCAUCCCAUCGCCGCACAAGAUCGCCGGAGUCAUAUUAUCGACGUAGUUAAAGCCCACUAGCCUAAAGCCGGGCGGACUGCGAAAAAACCAUGAAAAGCCAUCAAGCCCAAACAAAUUCCUGCUGGAGGAACUCCAGAUGUUGUGCAUCACUUCACAGGAUUUAUGACAGAGCCAAUCAAGGAAAUCAUGAAAGAGAUUGCAGAUAUGGCAAAAAAGGUUUCAAGAUACAAAUCUUGGAGAAAUUCAAGAGCUAAGAGACACCACACCAGAGGAAUUAACAGAAGACCACUUGAUGGAGAUGACUCCUUCUGAACCCAGUGCCAGACGAUGAGGAAGAAGACGAAGCAGUGCCAGAAAACAAAUUGACAUUAGACAAUCUGGCAGAAGGGUUCCACUUAUUCAAUAUGGCUUUUGACUUCUCUUAUAACAUGGACUUUUCUAUGAAACAGGCACUGAAUCUAAAGCAAAUGGUGGAAGAAGAAUUGGUGCUAAAUGGAAACAUGUUUAGAGAAAUGGAAAAGCAAAAAAGUCAGACAAAUUAUGAUGUAUCUCCAUCAGAUUACACUUAUUGUGCCUCCCUCUCCUGCCUCCUCUUCCACCUCUUCUACUUCUGCCACCCCUGAGACAGCAAAGCCAACCCCCGCUUCUCAGCCUAUUCAAGGUGAAAAUUAUGAGGACGGAGACAUUUAUGAUGAUUCACUUACACUUAAUGGAGAGUAAAUAUAUUUUCUCCUCAUGAUUUCCUUAAAACGUUUUCUUUAGCUUACUUUAUUAUAAGAAUACAGUAUAUAACAUAUGUAACAUACAAAAUUGUCGAGUGCGGUGGCUCACAUCUGUAAUCCCAACACUUUGGGAGGCUGAGGCAGACGGAUCACUUGAGACCAGGGGUUUGAGACCAGCCUGGCCAACAUGGCGAAACCCCGUCUCUAUUAAAAAGAUAAAAAUUAGCCAGACAUGAUGGUGCGUGCCUGUAAUCGCACCUACUCGGGAGGCUGAGGCAGGAGAAUCUCUUGAACCCAGGAGGCGGAGGUUGCAGUGAGCCGAGAUUGCACCACUGCACUCCUUGCCUGGGUGACAGAGCAAGACUCCAUCUCAAAAAAAAAAAAGUGUUAAUUGUUUAUGUUGUUGGUAAGACUUCCGAUCAACAGUAGGCUGUUACUACAGUUUUGGGGGAUGGAAUUUUGACUGUGAGGGUCUGUGCCCCUAACCUCAUGUUGCUUAAGGGUCAACUGUACAUAGAUAUGUUACAUACACACACAUACUUCCUCCCUCUCUGUAAUUUGGAUCCUAUGCCUAUUAUCUUUUAGUUUACUAACUUGACUUAAGAAGUCCUGAUCAUUUUUUGAUGUUCAUGCAUACCGUAUAGAUCCUACCUCAUUUGACUCCUACAAAAUAUUUGUUAAGGGUGUUCUAAAAGUUACUUUUUGUAGUUAAACUACACUUUAUUUACAUUUGUUUGUUAUGGAAAUAAUGCAUAAUAAUCGUUAAAAAUCCAAACAAAAGGGGGGAACAUAUUAAAAGAAAAGUAAGGGUCUCCCUGCUACUCUACCUACCUACCCACCUACCUUAUCUGUUACCAUAUCCUAGACCCAACUGCAAUUAACAAUUUCUGGUUUUAGUUCUUCUGGUUCUUUUCAUUAUAACCUUAAAUACUGUACAUAUACAUCUUGACUCACCAGCUGAAAAUCCUUCAAAGGGACAAAAACUUAUUCUUAACUCCUAAUUUAAAAAAUUGUAUUACUUUUAGUUUUGCUAGAAGCUUUCAUGACUUUAGGUUGUUUACCUAAAUCAUUAUUUAUAAAUUUUACACACUGUAUAUUGGCUCCCUACUAGGAGAGGUGAGGAAUUGGUACAUUCUUACUUUCUCGUCUUUUCCCCUCCCCCUCCUAAUUUUGUUAGUUUCAUUCUCAUUUUUAGUCUGUCAAGAAUUUGCAUUCUUUUUGUAAAUAAAAUUACAGACAUCCCUUGGUAUCCAUGGGGGAUUGGUUCCAGGACCUCUCGUAUACACCAAAAUCCACAUACACUCAAAUCCCACAGUUGGCCCUGUGGAACCUGUGGAUAUGACCAUUCGCAUCCCAAGAAUACUGUAUUUUCCACCUAUUCUUGGUUUCAGUUGUGGAACCCACUGAUAUGGAGGGCCAACUGUAUAUAUUGAAAACAAUUUGCAUAUAAGUAGACCCACACUGGUUCAGACCCCUGUUGUUCAGGGUCAGCUCUAUAUCUUUCCAACUUUGUGCAUUGAUUGAAAAACCAACAACAGUAUGAUAUUAGGGCUAUAACAGAUCUGUUAGGCCAAGCCCACAUGCCCCUGAACAGAACAUUCUGCACAUUGGGCCAACUUCCAACUGCCGGCACCUGAAGUUAUUUGCAUUAUCAGCUAUCUUUGUCCACCAGAGCCUGCUCUGCCUGCAUUUUGGGAAGACCUAAAGUGCCAAGGAAUUAACACACCCUGCAAGUAUGCUCAAUUGAAGGCAAUGAAUAGAAAAAGACCCCUGACUCCUUCACCCCUGGAUUUCAGGGAGGUAAAUCCAAGAUGUAUGCUAAGGAGGUGACACUUAAUGUCAGACACACACACCUGUUAUGAGAGUUUCCUGAUUGAAUAAGAAAGAGGCAUUCCAGGCAGAAGUACCCGAACAUACAAGAGUGCAAGACCAAGAGGCUAAGGCAGAUUGCUCUGUGCAAGAAGUGGCAGGUAGUGUGGCGUGGCUGGAGAUGAAGAAAUGACUGGAUUGGGAAGGACUUUAUCCACCAAUCUAAUGAAUUUGACUUUCAUCUUGAAGGUGUGAAAUAGCGUGCUAAACAAGUUUAAAAGCAAAAUGUCAUUAGCCUAUUUGUAUUUAGAAAGAGCACUCCAGAAGCAAGGAGGGGAUGGGUGAAUUGGAUGUACUGACACUGGAACAAGGAAAUUAUUCCAAUAGUCCAGGAAAGAAGAAGGACAUCAACUAAAAUUGCACAAGUGAACAUGGAAAAAAGAGGAUGCGUCUGAGAAAUAUAAAUAUUGGCCGGGGCGGUGGCUCACACCUGUAAUCCCAACACUUCGGGAGGGUGAGGUGGGCAGAUUGCUUGAACUCAGGAGUUCAAAACCAGCCUGGGUAACAUGGCAAAACCCCUCUCUACACAAAAUACAAAAAUUAGCCAAGCGUGAUGGCAUGGCCUGUAGUCCCAGUUACUCAGGAGGCUGAGGUGGGAGGAUCACUUGAGCCUGGGAGGUUGAGGCUGCAGUGAGCCAUGAUCUCGCCACUGCACUCCCACCUGGGAGAUAGAGUGGGACCCUGUCUAAAAAAAAAAACAAAGAAAUAUAAAUAUUGUAUUAGGGUUUACCAAAGAAACAGAACCAAUACGAUAUAUGUAUGUAUACGGGUAUAUAUAUAAGGAGAUUCAUAUAAGGAACUGACUCACAAGAUCACUGAGGCUGGCAAGUCUACAGGAUGAGCCAGCAAGCUGGAGACCCAGGAGAACUGAUGGCAUAGUUCCUGACCAGAGGCUAGCAGGCUUGAAAUCCAGGAAGAGUCAGUGUUUCAAUCUGAGUCUGAAGGCAAGAAACAAGCUGAUGUCCCAGUCAAAAGAUCAGAAGGCAGGAGAGAUUCUUUCUUACUCAGGGAGGAUCAGUUUUUUUGUUUUAUUCAGGCUUCUAACUGAUUGGAUGAGACUCACUCAUAUGUUAGGGAGGUCAAUUUGCUUUACUCAGGCUAUCCAUUUAAAUGUUAAUCUCAUCCCAAAACACCCUCAUACACACACCCAGGAUAAUGUUUCAGCAAGUAUCUGGGCACUCUAUGGCCCAGUCAAGUUGACACAUAAAAUUAAUCACAAAUAUGUUCCAGUAACUUAGUUUUUAAACAACUAGAUUCUUAUGAGAAUAAACUCAGGAUAGGAUAGGGGAAAUGCUUUCUGGCUUUCCACUUGCAUAUUCUUGGAAUGUCACUUUUUCUUAAAUGUUAAAAAUUGAAGGCCAGGCAUGGUGGCUCAUGCCUGUAAUCCCAGCACUUUGGGAGGCUGAGGUGGGUGGAUCACGAUGUCAGGAGUUCCAGACCAGCCUGACCAUCAUGGUGAAACCCCAUCUUUACUAAAAAUACAAAAAAAUAGCUGGGAGUGGUGGCGCGUGCCUAUAAUCCCAACUACUCAGGAGGCUGAGGCAGGAGAAUCACUUGAAACCUGGGAGACGGAGGUUGCAGUGAGCCAAGAUCACGCCACCGCACUGCAGCCUGGGCAACAAGAAUGAGACUCCAUCUCAAAAAAAAAAAAAAAAAAUGAAAAUGUGUCGUUAAUCAUCGAGAUAGUCUUUCAGUCUGCACUCAGUAAUAUUAAUGCCUUCUCAUUGAAGUCAUCUAUUCUGUUCCCAUAAAGAUCAGGAUAGUUUAGGUAGUGGUGAAUAAAUAAGGUUCUCAAUGGCCUAUUAGUUUUUUUAAAUGUUCAAAAGAUAGUAGCAUGUUGGGAAAAGAGAUGAAUUCCACAUUUCUUUUGGUACAGUACAACUUACUGAAAUUGCUUUCUUAUUUCAACAAGGAUUUACCAGGUUGUGUGUAGUGGUUAAAAGCAUGGACUUUACAGCCACAUUACAUGGGUUCAAAUCCACUUACUAGUUAUGUUAACCACAGGAAGUUAGCUAAUGUCUCUCUGCCUCAGUUUUCUGUUUGUAAAUUAGGAUAAAAAUCUCCGUAGAUGUGAAUAUGUAUAGCUAGAUAGUAGAUUGUAUUCAAAAUCCCAAUCAUAACAUAAUAAAAAUAUUAACUAUUAUUAGUUGUUUUGAAUAUACAACCUAAUUUCAUUUUCUCCAUGAUCUGAGCAUGUUGAGUUAUUUUUAAACAACUCCAUUUUACAGAUGAGACAGUGUUCCAAUAAGCUAGGUAGUAUGCCCACAGACACACAGCUAGCAGCUGAGAUGAACCACCCAAGUCUAUUUGGUUUUCAGCUCAUGUUCUUUUCAUGAUAUUUUGCUUUCUCUCAAUAUUUAUAGAAUUUAAUUUAAUUGACUAGAAUUAAACUAAGAGAAAAUGAUUGAAUGAAGAGAUGCAGAAGGCAAGAGAUAGCAAAGGUCAUUCUGGGCUGGGCAUGGUGGCUCACACCUGUAAUCCCAGCACUUUGGGAGGCCUAGGCGGGUGGAUCAUCUGAGGUCGGGAGUUCAAGACCACCCUGGCCAACAUGGUGAAACACCCCCGUCUGCUAAAAAUACAAAAAUUAGCUGGGUGUGGUGGCAGGCGCCUGUAAUUGCAGCUACUCGGGAAGCUGAGGCAGGAGAAUCGCUUGAACUGGGGAGGUGGAAGUUGCAGUGAGCCGAGAUGUGCCAUUGCACUCCAGCCUGGGCAGUAAGAGCGAAACUCCGUCUCAAAGCAAAAAAAAGAAAAGCUACCUUUACCAAAGACAGUUAAAAUGAUGGCCACCAAGGGGCAGUGUGCAGCAGGCAGAGAAGGUGGCUUUUUAAAUUAUUUUUCACUGCCUGCUGAGACAAAGAUGUUACACCAGAAUAUGCCACCCUAACAUAUGCUUCUUUGGCAUAAGGAUUAUUUUGAGCUGAAGACGAUUGAGAAGAAACAAAUAAAAGAAAAACUCUGCCUUCCCUUUCUUUGCCUAAAGGCAGGACAUGCUAGUUAAUGAUCAACCCCUGACCUAAUCGGUUAUGUUACCUAUAGAUUACAGACAUUUUAUAGAAAAAGAAAAACACGGUGAAAAUCCCUGUCCUGUUCUGUUCCAUUGUAAUUACCAGUGCAUGCAGCCCCCAAUCACAUACCCACUGCUUGCUCAAUCGAUCAUGACACUCUCAUGUGGACCCCCUUAGAGUUGUAAGCCCUUAAGAGGGAAAGGAAUUGCUCACUUGGGGAGCUCGGUUUUUGGAGACGUGAGUCUGCUGAUGCUCCCAGCUGAAUAAAGCCCUUCCUUCUACAACUCGGUGUCUGAGGGGUUUUGUCUGUGGCUACAAACCUGUCUUUGGCCAGUCUAAUUUACAGGACCUCAGCCAGAGAACUAAGAUGGGUAGAGGCAAUACAGGAGAUAGAAAUAAUUUAGGUAGGUAGAUAGGGUGAAAGAGUCCCUGACAAAAGCUUUUCUUCUGACAAAAAACAGCUCAGAAAUUACUUCCAUUCUAACCACAGGCAGUCCAAAUAAAUCACUUCUCUUUUAACAAAGAGCAGCCUGGAAGAUUGGACUGUAUAAUGUAGAUAAGCAUCUCCGGCACAGAGGGAGAGUUUCUUGGGUAGUCACCAAACUUACAUAAAUGGGUCCCAGUAAAAACAGUAGGCUUUAAUGAGCACAUUCCUUUCCCCUUUUUUGGACAGGGACACACUAAGGUUAGCUAGAAGCUUGCAUGGUGGGGUGGGGGAAAUGCCUGCAGCUGCAAGGAGGUACCCAGGACAAGGCAUGGAAACUCCCCCUAUUCUUGUUAGCACAUGCAAGGUGGAAGGAGAAAGGCAGUGUGGAGUCGCCCAAGCUAAGAGCCUGCCUGCAUGAUAAAAGAAUGGGGUAGGGGCUGCCAGAGAUUCCACUCUAUACAGAUGACACACCUGGUCCUAACCAGGUUUUCAUGCCCUAUGUAGAUAAGAUACCCGCUCCCUACUAGCUCGUUGAUAAAAACCCUCCAUUUUACUGCAGCACGGCAACCCGUCUGGGACCUCUCUCUGUGAGAGAGAGCUGUCCUUUUCCUUUUGCCUAUUACACUUCUCUAACUUCACCCUUUGUGUGUCUGCAUUCUUCAUUUCUGUGGCCAUGAGACAAAAAACCUCAGCUGAUAUCCCAGACAACAAGGCUGCUUUAGAGGGAAAACGGAUAGCUAAUAUUAUCAGUUAAUUGGCUAUGUUAAUUGAUACCUUCAAAUUAGGUGUUUUAAAAUAAAUGCUGAGAACAAUAUGAAAGUGUUUUUCUUUUACUAAUUCUCUGAGGAUUUUGUUAUUUAUUUAGCUUUACAAUGCCUAGCCCCCUUUAUAAAUGUAAUUAUUGUGUUGCUAAGUGCAUGUAUACAAAAAAUUCAUUGGUUCAAAAGCCAUAGGCCUGGUACCAUAGCCAUAUAUGGUACGUUCAAACCUUGGAAAUGCACAUUCUCAGUGUGUCGGAAGCUCUGUACUGCUCCUUCUUGAAGAACUACUUUGAUUUGUGGUUAACUCGCUGUUUUGACUCACUGUUUUAACUCCCAUUACUUCAGUAUCUGACAUUCAGCCUCAGAAUCUGGCCAGUGUAUCAGGGCUGGAAUUAAUUGAUUAACACCAUUAGAUGGCAGUACUAUUUAAAUUCCAAAAAUGGUUAUAAACUCAUUCUCUAAAAUGUGUGUCAAAUAGAAUAUUUGACUGAUAAUAACUCUAAGAGCACAAAAGGAUUAAACACACACACAAGACAAAGUUUGGGAUAUACCCAUUGGAAAAACCCUUGGUCUCUUUAAAUUUUUUUUCAUAUGUAUGUAUAUUGCACAUAUUGCCGGCCUCUUUAUCUCUUUUUUCCUUUUUUUUUUUUUUUUUUUUGAGAAGGAGUCUUACUCUGUCACCCAGGCUGGAGCACAGUAGUGCAAACAUGACUCACUGCAGCCUUGAACUCCUGGGCUCAAGCGACCUUGUCACCUUAGCCACUGUGACCAGCCUUCUUUUCCCUUUUGACUUUGUUAUAUCACACUGACUCUAGAAAUGUGGUUCUUUAUUGGGGCGAUUUUGCCCUCCCCCGGGGACAUCUGACAAGGUCUGGAGACAUUUUGAUUGUGGGUAGGGGGAGGGACACUCUGCUACAGGCAUCUAGUUGGCAGAGCCCAGAGAUACCGCUACACACCCUACACUGUGCAGAACAGCCCCUACGGCCAGGAAUUAUCAGGCCCAAACAAAAUACCAAGUUAGUUUUUAAUUUCAAAGUUUACGCGUAACAUUAUUUUUUAGAUAUAAAAAAUAUUCACACAUUAAUUUGAUCACAAGAAAUUUUAAAGAAAUUUAAACAUUUUCAGAAAAGGCUACUUCAAGGUGUCAUGACAGCUUUGGACCAAACAUUAAUGUUCUAUAUGACUUUGGGCAAGUCAGUCAUGUUUAUUAGACUUAAUAACCCAGGUAACGUUAGCUGUUGGAGGGUUUUUUAAAAAACGUUUUAUUUUGAAAAAACUUCAAACUUAAAGGAAAAAUGGCAAGAAUACUACAAAGACCUAUUUAUUCAGAUACACCAGUUGUCACAAUUUUGCCAUAUUAACUUUAUCUAUUGAUCAAUUUCUCUUUCAGUCUAUUGACCUAUCUAUCUUGAACUAUUUGGGAUUAAGUUGUAGACAUCUGAUCCCCUUACCCUUAAACACUUUACCACGUCUUCCUAAGAAUAAGACCAUUACUCCACACAGUACACUUAUCUAAAUCAGGAGACAGCAUUGUUAUAAUACUGUUACCAAGUGGCAAGCUGGUGCACUGUCCAGACAGGGAGAGAGGGAGAGAGGACCUGAUUUGUAACAUUUGCCAGUUCCCAUGUGUGAUGGUUUACUUUGGUUCAUAACUACCAUUGUCCUUGUUACAGUCUUUUAUUAAAAUGUGGGGUGUGUUAGGCCGCAAGGGCAGGCCUCAAGAAACAGAAUCUCUCUCCUGCCCUCCUUUCACCUGCCCCAAGGCAGGAUUCCAUCUUCUCCCACCUUUCCAACUGUGGGUCUUAAGACUUUUCAGAGAGGGUCCUGCCAUACACACUGGGGGAAGGAAUGCUGACGUCAUGAAGCUUCCAUGAAAACUCAAGAGGACUGAGUUCAGAGAGCUUCCGGAUAGCUGAAAACAUGGAGGUUCCUGGUUCCUGGAGGGUGGCGCCCCAGGCAUGGAAGCUCUGAGCCCCUUCCUCCGCACCUCAUCUCUUCAUCUGUAUCCUUUGUAAUAUCCUUUAUUAUAAAACAGCAAAUGUGUUUCCCUGAGUUCUGUGAGCCACUCCAGCAAAUCAAUCAAACCCAAAGAGGGGGUCAUGGGAACCCCAACUUGAAGCUCAAUCAGAAUUUCCCAAGGCCCAGAUUUGCAACUGAUAUCUGGGGGUGAGGGUGGUCUUGGGGUCUGAGCCCUCAAUCUGUGGGAUCUGAUGCUACCUCCAGAUAGAUAGUGAAGGAACUGGGUGGAGGUCCUGGCUUGUGUCUGCCUCUUGGUGGUGGGGAGAAGUUCCCACACAUAUGGUCACAGGAGUCUUCUGUGUUGAUGAUUGCUGUUGUGGUGUGAGAGCAGAGGAAAAACACAGUUUGAGAGAGUUUUCCCAAAAUACCAUGAAAUGAAGAGAGAAAGAAACACGAGCAAAUAAACAGAACUGAUAAUGCAUUAAAAGAAAAGAUGAAAAAAUAUGAGGCUAUAAAAGAGACGUGUGGUACAGGAUAACGGUCACCCAAAGAUGUCCCCAUCCUAAUCUCCAGAACCUGUGCCUGUGUCACCUGACAUGGCAAAGUGACAGCAAAUGUGACUACCUUAUGGAUCUCAAGAGAGAAGCCUGAUCCUGGAUCAUCUGGCUGAGUCCAGCCUAAUUGCAUGGGUCCUUAACAGUGGAGAGUCGACUGCAGUGGUAUGAAGGAAAUGCAGCUAUGGAAGAAACGGUCUGAGAAAUGGUACAUUGCUGGCUUUGUGGAUGGAGGAAAGUGGUCAUGAGCCAAGGGAUGUGUACUACCUCUAGAAGCUGGAAAAGGGAAGAAAACAGAUUUGCCCUAAAGCCUCCAGAAUGAAAUCCAGACCUACUGACACCCUGGUUUUAGCUCAGUGAGACCCAUGGUGGGCUUCUGAAGGCAAAAUUGUAAGAUAAUAAAUGUGUUAAGACACUAAAUUUAUGGUGAUAUGCUACACAGUGGUAGAAAAUUAGUACAAGAUGAAAAAGAUUUAAAAGGAAAUGACAGAUAUACAUAUAUAGGAAACAGGCAAGGAAGACCCUGUACACAUGGGUACACGUGCAUGCGCACACACACACAGAUAUAUUAGUUCCUAAAGAAAUAAAAUCAGCCAGGCGCGGUGGCUCACGCCUGUAAUCCCAGCACUUUGGGAGGCUGAGACAGGUGGAUCACCUGAGGUCAGGAGUUCAAGACCAGCCUCAACAUGGAGAAACCCUGUCUCUACUAAAAACACAAAAUUAGCUGGGCGUGGUGGUGCAGGCCUGUAAUCCCAGCUACUCAGGAGGCUGAGGCAGGAGACUUGCUUGAACCUGGGAGGCGGAGGUUGCAGUGAGCCGAGAUCGUGCCAUUGCACUCCAUCCUGGGCAACAAGAGUGAAACUCCGUCUCAAAAAAAAAAAAAAAAAAAAGAAAAUCAAAAGGAAUAGAUCCAAACAAACAAGAUGUAUAAUUCAGGAAAGGUUUCCUGAAAUAAGCAUAUACUUGAAACGACAUAUUGAAAGAUUAUCUAAACACCUUGGAAAAUGGAGUCCAAAUAUCCAAUACCAAGACAUUCUAGUAAAAUUAUUGGAAGAGAAAGGAAAGAAGGAAGAAGGGGAAAGAAGGAAGAAGGGGAAAGAGGGAAGAAAUAAAAUUUCUUGGGGUUCCUUUCCCCACCAAAAGAAGAUGCACUGACAUUUUGAAAGAAAAUUAGUUUGACAUCAGAUUUUUCAACAGCAAUGCCUUAUGUCAGAACAAAAUGGAGUUACAUAUUCAGGCCAAGUGUGGUGGCGCACACCUGUAAUCCCAGCACUUUGGGAGGCUGAGGCGGGUGAAUCGCUUGAGCCCAGGAGUUCAAGAGCAUCCAGGGCAAUGUGGCAAAACCCCGUCUCUUCAAAAAAUUAGCCAGGCAUGGUGGCAUGCACCUGUAGUUCCAGCUAUUGAGGAGGCUGAGCUGAAAGGAUCGUUUGAGCCCAGGAGGUUGAGGCUGCAGGGAGCUAUGAUCUGCACUCCAGCCUGAGUAACAAAGUGAGACUCUGUCUCAAAAAAAAUAAAAAAAAUAAAAUAAAAUGAAAAAAGAUACUCGAGGAAAGUAAAGAUAAGCCAAAAUAAUUUUCAAGUAUAAAAGCAGCAAAGUGUUACCAAAAUGCAAAGACUCAGGAAAUACAGUUACCAUAAGCUAUUCCUAAGGAAUCUACUAGUGAACAAGUUUCAAACAGUCACAAUGACUGCAGAGACAUUGACGUAAAGACAGAUGGCAAAUAUUAAGUGGGUGGGUAGGUAGAUACAGCUGUAGAUAUGGCCAGCUGUUUGCUGGAGGCAAUUUGGACAAGCUUAUGAGAGCCAAUGAACUUUUCAAGAAUUUUAUGAGUUGGUUAUUAAACAUAGACAUUAUGAACAGUUAAAGUAUAUACAUGUACGUACAUUUAAAUAAAUUAAAAACAGUAAACACUAAAAACACAUCGCUUCAUAAUUAUGUUACUACAUUUUACAAUUAUCUAUGCUUUUGAGGUUAUUUACAUUGAUUGUAUCAAAUGGUGGAGAUAGGGUCAGCUUCUGCACAUCUUUUCCCGAACUCCACAUUUAAUGAUGUCACCUUGAUAGCUCACCAAUGGUGAAAGUAUUUACUCCAUGGAAAGCUGCAAAAUGCUAUGAAUCAGGGCUUUUUCCCCCUUUUUCUGGAGAGUCUCUUGUUAAACAUUUCCUAGCACAUCAAUGGAUUCAAAAAAGAGAAGCUAGUAUGCAACAGAUCCAUGACUUGACAAUGUAGAUACACCACCACUCUGAAGACAUAUGAGGAGGGCACUGGGAGAGCGUAUGAAAAAUGUCUUUUUAGCCUUUCAGUAAUCAUUUUGGGUGAUAGUGAUGUCAUCGUUAUUCUGAGAAUGGAGUGUGUGCAAUGUCAAUUAAAGCAAAUAAAUAAUCAUAUGAUAUAUUUAAUUGUGUUAUCCUCUCUGUUUUGAAAACCAGGAUUUGGCCGUGGAUGGUGGCUCACACUUGUAGUCCCAGCACUUUGGGAGGCUGAGGCAGGUGGAUCACUUGAGGUCAGGAGUUUGAGAUCAGCUGGCCAACAUGGAGAAAACCCCGUGUCUACUAAAAAAUACAAAAAUUAGGCCGGGCACGGUGGCUCACGCCUGUAAUCCCAGCACUUUGGGAGGCCGAGGCGGGCGGAUCACGAGGUCAGGAGAUCGAGACCAUCCUGGCUAACACGGUGAAACCCCGUCUCUACUAAAAAUACAAAAAAAAAAAUUAGUCGGGCGUGGUGGC
RNAcentral lists this long non-coding RNA (12108 nucleotides) under Homo sapiens (human). RNAcentral describes it as "non-protein coding lnc-RNASET2-1:8". Lineage: Eukaryota; Metazoa; Chordata; Mammalia; Primates; Hominidae. The record is from RNAcentral.